GGACUACUGGGGUAUCUAAUCCUGUUUGCUCCCCACGCUGUCGCGCAUCAGUGUCAGCAGUAGCCCAGCAGGCCGCCUUCGCCACCGGUGUUCUUCCGGAUCUCUACGCAUUCCACCGCUACACCCGGAAUUCCACCUGCCUCUACUACGCUCAAGCAAGACAGUUCGCAUGGCAGACUCGGAGUUGAGCCCCGAGCUUUCACCACACGCUUAUCCCGCCACCUACGCGCCCUUUACGCCCAGUGAUUCCGGACAACGCUCGCACCCUCUGUAUUACCGCGGCGGCUGGCAC
This 292-nucleotide ribosomal RNA is filed under the name uncultured bacterium. Its description in RNAcentral is "partial 16S ribosomal RNA". The record is from RNAcentral.